RNAcentral lists this ribosomal RNA (446 nucleotides) under uncultured Allobrachymonas sp. RNAcentral describes it as "bacterial SSU rRNA". It matches the Rfam family "Bacterial small subunit ribosomal RNA", at positions 930 to 1382 of the family's 1533-position model. Lineage: Bacteria; Pseudomonadati; Pseudomonadota; Betaproteobacteria; Burkholderiales; Comamonadaceae. The record is from RNAcentral.
CGGUGGAUGAUGUGGUUAAUUCGAUGCAACGCGAAAACCUUACCCACCUUUGACAUGGCAGGAAUCCCGAAGAGAUUUGGAGUGCUCGAAAGAGAACCUGCACACAGGUGCUGCAUGGCUGUCGUCAGCUCGUGUCGUGAGAUGUUGGGUUAAGUCCCGCAACGAGCGCAACCCUUGUCAUUAGUUGCUACGAAAGGGGCACUCUAAUGGGACUGCCGGUGACAAACCGGAGGAAGUGGGGAUGACGUCAAGUCCUCAUGGCCCUUAUAGGUGGGGGCUACACACGUCAUACAAUGGCCGGUACAGAGGGUAGCCAACCCGCAGGGGGAGCCCAAUCCCACAAAGCCGGUCGUAGUCCGGAUCGCAGUCUGCAACUCGACUGCGUGAAGUUGGAAUCGCUAGUAAUCGCGGAUCAGCAUGUCGCGGUGAAUACGUUCCCGGGUCUU